Molecule: ribosomal RNA, 378 nt
Filed under: Raffaelea subfusca
Lineage: Eukaryota; Fungi; Ascomycota; Sordariomycetes; Ophiostomatales; Ophiostomataceae
Description: SSU rRNA
Rfam family: Eukaryotic small subunit ribosomal RNA
Source: RNAcentral
CCGGGCCUUUCCCUCUGGGGAGCCGCAUGCCCUUCACUGGGCGUGUCGGGGAACCAGGACGUUUACUUUGAAAAAAUUAGAGUGUUCAAAGCAGGCUUAUGCUCGGAUACAUUAGCAUGGAAUAAUAGAAUAGGACGUGCGGUUCUAUUUUGUUGGUUUCUAGGACCGCCGUAAUGAUUAAUAGGGACAGUCGGGGGCAUCAGUAUUCAGUUGUCAGAGGUGAAAUUCUUGGAUUUACUGAAGACUAACUACUGCGAAAGCAUUUGCCAAGGAUGUUUUCAUUAAUCAGGAACGAAAGUUAGGGGAUCGAAGACGAUCAGAUGCCGUCGUAGUCUUAACCAUAAACUAUGCCGACUAGGGAUCGGACGGUGUUAUUUU